CAGCCUCUGGUCGAUGGAACAAUGUAGGCA
Molecule: non-coding RNA, 30 nt
Filed under: Arabidopsis thaliana (thale cress)
Lineage: Eukaryota; Viridiplantae; Streptophyta; Magnoliopsida; Brassicales; Brassicaceae
Also listed under: 1 other name
Source: RNAcentral